Molecule: ribosomal RNA, 886 nt
Filed under: uncultured bacterium
Lineage: Bacteria
Description: bacterial SSU rRNA
Rfam family: Bacterial small subunit ribosomal RNA
Source: RNAcentral
GGCUCAGAAUGAACGCUGGCGGCGUGCCUAACACAUGCAAGUCGGAUGUGCCGCAAGGUGCAUGGCAGACGGGUGAGUAACGCGUGGGCAAUCUACCUUUUAGUGGGGAAUAACGUUCCGAAAGGAAUGGUAAUACCGCAUGUGAUCACAGACUGGGAUGUUUGUGAUGAAAGCCGGGGACCGCAAGGCCUGGCGCUAGAAGAGGAGCCCGCGUCUGAUUAGUUAGUUGGUGGGGUAAUGGCCUACCAAGACAUCGAUCAGUAGCCGGCCUGAGAGGGUGAUCGGCCACACUGGAACUGAGACACGGUCCAGACUCCUACGGGAGGCAGCAGUGGGGAAUUUUGCGCAAUGGACGAAAGUCUGACGCAGCAACGCCGCGUGGGUGAUGAAGGUCUUCGGAUCGUAAAACCCUGUCGUCGGGGACGAAGGUGGGCUUGUUAAUAGCGAGUUUACUUGACGGUACCCGGAGAGGAAGCCCCGGCUAACUCUGUGCCAGCAGCCGCGGUAAUACAGAGGGGGCAAGCGUUAUUCGGAAUUAUUGGGCGUAAAGGGCGCGUAGGCGGUUUUUUAAGUAGGAUGUGUAAUCCCCGGGCUUAACCUGGGAACUGCAUCCUAGACUGGAAGACUUGAGUACUGGAGAGGGUGGUAGAAUUCCACGUGUAGCGGUGAAAUGCGUAGAGAUGUGGAGGAAUACCAGUGGCGAAGGCGGCCACCUGGACAGUAACUGACGCUGAGGCGCGAAAGUGUGGGUAGCAAACAGGAUUAGAUACCCUGGUAGUCCACGCUGUAAACGAUGAACACUUGGUGUGGUGGGAGUUGACCCCUGCCGUGCCGGAGCUAACGCGUUAAGUGUUCCGCCUGGGGAGUACGGUCGCAAGGCUGAAAC